RNAcentral lists this transfer RNA (87 nucleotides) under Candidatus Nitrosopumilus sp. RNAcentral's name for it is "Nitrosopumilus sp. tRNA-Ser". It matches the Rfam family "tRNA". Rfam says of the family: Transfer RNA (tRNA) molecules are approximately 80 nucleotides in length. Their secondary structure includes four short double-helical elements and three loops (D, anti-codon, and T loops). Lineage: Archaea; Thermoproteati; Nitrososphaerota; Nitrososphaeria; Nitrosopumilales; Nitrosopumilaceae. The record is from RNAcentral.
GCGGGGGUCGCCUAGCCCGGUAGGGCGUGAGAUUGCUAAUUUCAUGUUCGCAAGAACUCGUGGGUUCAAAUCCCUCUCCCCGCGCCA